AGGAUAGUAGUCAAGUGGUAAGACAUAACUCUUUCGAUGUUAGUAUCGCAGGUUCGAAUCCUGUCUAGUCUA
Molecule: transfer RNA, 72 nt
Filed under: Clonostachys rosea f. rosea IK726
Lineage: Eukaryota; Fungi; Ascomycota; Sordariomycetes; Hypocreales; Bionectriaceae
Rfam family: tRNA
About the family: Transfer RNA (tRNA) molecules are approximately 80 nucleotides in length. Their secondary structure includes four short double-helical elements and three loops (D, anti-codon, and T loops). Further hydrogen bonds mediate the characteristic L-shaped molecular structure. tRNAs have two regions of fundamental functional importance: the anti-codon, which is responsible for specific mRNA codon recognition, and the 3' end, to which the tRNAs corresponding amino acid is attached (by aminoacyl-tRNA synthetases). tRNAs cope with the degeneracy of the genetic code in two manners: having more than one tRNA (with a specific anti-codon) for a particular amino acid; and 'wobble' base-pairing, i.e. permitting non-standard base-pairing at the 3rd anti-codon position.
Source: RNAcentral